AUUGAACGCUGGCGGCAUGCCUUACACAUGCAAGUCGAACGGCAGCACGGGUGCUUGCCCCUGGUGGCGAGUGGCGAACGGGUGAGUAAUACAUCGGAACAUGUCCUGUAGUGGGGGAUAGCCCGGCGAAAGCCGGAUUAAUACCGCAUACGAUCUACGGAUGAAAGCGGGGGACCUUCGGGCCUCGCGCUAUAGGGUUGGCCGACGGCUGAUUAGCUAGUUGGUGGGGUAAAGGCCUACCAAGGCGACGAUCAGUAGCUGGUCUGAGAGGACGACCAGCCACACUGGGACUGAGACACGGCCCAGACUCCUACGGGAGGCAGCAGUGGGGAAUUUUGGACAAUGGGCGAAAGCCUGAUCCAGCAAUGCCGCGUGUGUGAAGAAGGCCUUCGGGUUGUAAAGCACUUUUGUCCGGAAAGAAAUCCUUGGCCCUAAUACGGUCGGGGGAUGACGGUACCGGAAGAAUAAGCACCGGCUAACUACGUG
This 486-nucleotide ribosomal RNA is filed under the name uncultured bacterium. RNAcentral describes it as "partial 16S ribosomal RNA". It matches the Rfam family "Bacterial small subunit ribosomal RNA", at positions 30 to 507 of the family's 1533-position model. The record is from RNAcentral.